This 219-nucleotide ribosomal RNA is filed under the name uncultured bacterium. Its description in RNAcentral is "partial 16S ribosomal RNA". It matches the Rfam family "Bacterial small subunit ribosomal RNA", at positions 524 to 742 of the family's 1533-position model. The record is from RNAcentral.
UACGUAGGGUGCGAGCGUUAAUCGGAAUUACUGGGCGUAAAGCGUGCGCAGGCGGUUUGUUAAGACAGAUGUGAAAUCCCCGGGCUUAACCUGGGAACUGCAUUUGUGACUGGCAAGCUAGAGUAUGGCAGAGGGGGGUAGAAUUCCACGUGUAGCAGUGAAAUGCGUAGAGAUGUGGAGGAAUACCGAUGGCGAAGGCAGCCCCCUGGGCCAAUACUG